GAUGAAGAACGUAGCGAAAUGCGAUAAGUAAUGUGAAUUGCAGAAUUCAGUGAAUCAUCGAAUCUUUGAACGCACAUUGCGCCCAUUAGUAUUCUAGUGGGCAUGCCUGUUCGAGCGUCAUUUCAACCCUUAAGCCUAGCUUAGUAUUGGGAAUCGACUUUACUGUCGUUCCUCAAAUUCAACGGCGGAUUUAUAGCAAUCUCUGAACGUAGUAAUUUUUUUCCUCGUUUUUGAAAUACUAUAAACCUCAGCCGCUAACCCCCAAUUUUUCUAUGGUUGACCUCGGAUCAGGUAGGAAUACCCGCUGAACUUAAGCAUAUCAAUAAGCGGAGGA
This 334-nucleotide unclassified non-coding RNA is filed under the name soil metagenome. RNAcentral's name for it is "partial contains 5.8S ribosomal RNA, internal transcribed spacer 2, and large subunit ribosomal RNA". The stretch from base 1 to 120 matches the Rfam family "5.8S ribosomal RNA", at positions 35 to 154 of the family's 154-position model. The record is from RNAcentral.